CGGUCGCCUCGUAACAGACGGCCACGAACCUCGUCAGGUCCGGAAGGAAGCAGCGAUAAGUGAUCCCUUCUGUGUCGUGGAU
This 82-nucleotide signal recognition particle RNA is filed under the name uncultured Desulfobacter sp. RNAcentral describes it as "Bacterial small signal recognition particle RNA". It matches the Rfam family "Bacterial small signal recognition particle RNA". Rfam says of the family: The signal recognition particle (SRP) is a universally conserved ribonucleoprotein involved in the co-translational targeting of proteins to membranes. The record is from RNAcentral. Lineage: Bacteria; Pseudomonadati; Thermodesulfobacteriota; Desulfobacteria; Desulfobacterales; Desulfobacteraceae.